This 249-nucleotide ribosomal RNA is filed under the name Clostridioides difficile. Its description in RNAcentral is "partial 23S ribosomal RNA". It matches the Rfam family "Bacterial large subunit ribosomal RNA", at positions 540 to 788 of the family's 2925-position model. Lineage: Bacteria; Bacillati; Bacillota; Clostridia; Peptostreptococcales; Peptostreptococcaceae. The record is from RNAcentral.
GAAAUAGAACCUGAAACCCUGCACUUACAAGCUGUGGAAGCACAUUUCUUGUGUGACCGCGUACUUUUUGUAGAACGGGCCAACGAGUUACGUUAAGUAGCAAGGUUAAGCACUUAAGGUGUGGAGCCGUAGCGAAAGCGAGUUUUAACUGAGCGUUCAGUUACUUGACGUAGACCCGAAACCGGGCGACCUACCCAUGAGCAGGAUGAAGCGAAAGUAAAAUUUCGUGGAGGUCCGAACCCACGAGCG